RNAcentral lists this ribosomal RNA (440 nucleotides) under uncultured bacterium. RNAcentral describes it as "bacterial SSU rRNA". It matches the Rfam family "Bacterial small subunit ribosomal RNA", at positions 338 to 790 of the family's 1533-position model. The record is from RNAcentral.
CCUACGGGAGGCAGCAGUGGGGAAUAUUGCGCAAUGGGCGGAAGCCUGACGCAGCGACGCCGCGUGAGGGAUGACGGCCUUCGGGUUGUAAACCUCUUUCAGCAGGGACGAAGCGUGAGUGACGGUACCUGCAGAAGAAGCACCGGCCAACUACGUGCCAGCAGCCGCGGUAAUACGUAGGGGGCUAGCGUUGUCCGGAUUCAUUGGGCGUAAAGAGCGUGUAGGCGGCCAGGUAGGUCAGCUGUGAAAACUGGAGGCUCAACCUUCAGACGUCGGCUGAAACCAUCUGGCUAGAGUCCGGGAGAGGAGAGUGGAAUUCCUGGUGUAGCGGUGAAAUGCGCAGAUAUCAGGAAGAACACCCGUGGCGAAAGCGGCUCUCUGGAACGGUACUGACGCUGAGACGCGAAAGCGUGGGGAGCGAACAGGAUUAGAUACCCGUG